RNAcentral lists this ribosomal RNA (2918 nucleotides) under Acinetobacter baumannii. RNAcentral describes it as "bacterial LSU rRNA". It matches the Rfam family "Bacterial large subunit ribosomal RNA". Lineage: Bacteria; Pseudomonadati; Pseudomonadota; Gammaproteobacteria; Moraxellales; Moraxellaceae. The record is from RNAcentral.
GUUGUAUAGUCAAGUAAUUAAGUGCAUGUGGUGGAUGCCUUGGCAGUCAGAGGCGAUGAAAGACGUGAUAGCCUGCGAAAAGCUCCGGGGAGGCGGCAAAUAUCCUUUGAUCCGGAGAUGUCUGAAUGGGGGAACCCACCUACUUUAAGGUAGGUAUUGCAACAUGAAUACAUAGUGUUGCAAGGCGAACGAGGGGAAGUGAAACAUCUCAGUACCCUUAGGAAAAGAAAUCAAUUGAGAUUCCCUCAGUAGCGGCGAGCGAACGGGGAUCAGCCCAUUAAGUUAUGUGUGUUUUAGUGGAACGCUCUGGGAAGUGCGAACGUAGAGGGUGAUAUUCCCGUACACGAAAGGGCACACAUAAUGAUGACGAGUAGGGCGAGGCACGUGAAACCUUGUCUGAAUAUGGGGGGACCAUCCUCCAAGGCUAAAUACUCCUGACUGACCGAUAGUGAACCAGUACCGUGAGGGAAAGGCGAAAAGAACCCCUGUGAGGGGAGUGAAAUAGAUCCUGAAACCGCAUGCAUACAAGCAGUGGGAGCACCUUCGUGGUGUGACUGCGUACCUUUUGUAUAAUGGGUCAGCGACUUAUAUUCAGUAGCGAGGUUAACCGUAUAGGGGAGCCGUAGAGAAAUCGAGUCUUAAUAGGGCGUUUAGUUGCUGGGUAUAGACCCGAAACCAGGCGAUCUAUCCAUGAGCAGGUUGAAGGUUGGGUAACACUAACUGGAGGACCGAACCCACUGUCGUUGAAAAGCCAGGGGAUGACUUGUGGAUAGGGGUGAAAGGCUAAUCAAGCCUGGUGAUAGCUGGUUCUCCCCGAAAGCUAUUUAGGUAGCGCCUCGGACGAAUACCAUAGGGGGUAGAGCACUGUUUCGGCUAGGGGGUCAUCCCGACUUACCAAACCGAUGCAAACUCCGAAUACCUAUGAGUACUAUCCGGGAGACAGACUGCGGGUGCUAACGUCCGUAGUCAAGAGGAAAACAAUCCAGACCGCCAGCUAAGGCCCCAAAAUCAUAGUUAAGUGGGAAACGAUGUGGGAAGGCAUAGACAGCUAGGAGGUUGGCUUAGAAGCAGCCACCCUUUAAAGAAAGCGUAAUAGCUCACUAGUCGAGUCGGCCUGCGCGGAAGAUGUAACGGGGCUAAAACUAUGUGCCGAAGCUGCGGAUGUAUACUUUGUAUACGUGGUAGGGGAGCGUUCUGUAAGCCGAUGAAGGUGUGUUGAGAAGCAUGCUGGAGGUAUCAGAAGUGCGAAUGCUGACGUGAGUAACGACAAAACGGGUGAAAAACCCGUUCGCCGAAAGACCAAGGGUUCCAGUCCAACGUUAAUCGGGGCUGGGUGAGUCGACCCCUAAGGCGAGGCCGAAAGGCGUAGUCGAUGGGAAAAUGGUUAAUAUUCCAUUACUUCUGUGUAAUGCGAUGAGAGGACGGAGAAGGCUAAAUCAGCCUGGCGUUGGUUGUCCAGGUGAAAGGAUGUAGGCAUGUAUCUUAGGCAAAUCCGGGGUACUCUAUGCUGAGAUCUGAUAGCAAGCUGUACUUGUACAGCGAAGUGGUUGAUGCCAUGCUUCCAGGAAAAGUCUCUAAGCUUCAGUUACACAGGAAUCGUACCCGAAACCGACACAGGUGGUCAGGUCGAGUAGACCAAGGCGCUUGAGAGAACUCUGCUGAAGGAACUAGGCAAAAUGGUACCGUAACUUCGGGAGAAGGUACGCUGUUGUUGGUGAUGGAACUUGCUUCCUGAGCUGACGACAGCCGCAGAAACCAGGCCGCUGCAACUGUUUAUUAAAAACAUAGCACUCUGCAAACACGAAAGUGGACGUAUAGGGUGUGAUGCCUGCCCGGUGCUGGAAGGUUAAUUGAUGGGGUUAGCGUAAGCGAAGCUCUUGAUCGAAGCCCCAGUAAACGGCGGCCGUAACUAUAACGGUCCUAAGGUAGCGAAAUUCCUUGUCGGGUAAGUUCCGACCUGCACGAAUGGCAUAAUGAUGGCGGCGCUGUCUCCAGCAGAGGCUCAGUGAAAUCGAAAUCGCUGUGAAGAUGCAGUGUACCCGCGGCUAGACGGAAAGACCCCGUGAACCUUUACUGCAGCUUGACACUGAACUUUGACCUUACUUGUGUAGGAUAGGUGGGAGGCUUUGAAGCUGGAACGCUAGUUCCAGUGGAGCCGUCCUUGAAAUACCACCCUGGUAAUGUUGAGGUUCUAACUCUGUCCCGUGAUCCGGGACGAGGACCGUGUCUGGUGGGUAGUUUGACUGGGGCGGUCUCCUCCUAAAGAGUAACGGAGGAGUACGAAGGUGCGCUCAGCGUGGUCGGAAAUCACGCGUAGAGUAUAAAGGCAAAAGCGCGCUUAACUGCGAGACCCACAAGUCGAGCAGGUACGAAAGUAGGUCUUAGUGAUCCGGUGGUUCUGUAUGGAAGGGCCAUCGCUCAACGGAUAAAAGGUACUCUGGGGAUAACAGGCUGAUACCGCCCAAGAGUUCAUAUCGACGGCGGUGUUUGGCACCUCGAUGUCGGCUCAUCUCAUCCUGGGGCUGAAGCAGGUCCCAAGGGUAUGGCUGUUCGCCAUUUAAAGAGGUACGCGAGCUGGGUUUAGAACGUCGUGAGACAGUUCGGUCCCUAUCUACCGUGGGCGCUGGAAAUUUGAGAGGAUCUGCUCCUAGUACGAGAGGACCAGAGUGGACGAACCUCUGGUGUACCGGUUGUGACGCCAGUCGCAUCGCCGGGUAGCUAUGUUCGGAAGGGAUAACCGCUGAAAGCAUCUAAGCGGGAAGCCUACCUCAAGAUAAGAUUUCCCUAGGACUUUAUGUCCUCUAAAGAGCCGUUCGAGACUAGGACGUUGAUAGGUUGGAUGUGGAAGCAUAGUGAUAUGUGAAGCUGACCAAUACUAAUUGCUCGUGAGGCUUGACUAUACAACACCCAAGCAGUUG